UGGGGAAUUUUGGACAAUGGGGGCAACCCUGAUCCAGCCAUCCCGCGUGUGCGAUGAAGGCCUUCGGGUCGUAAAGCUCUGUGGGGAGGGACGAAUAAGUGCCGUACAAACAAUACGGCGCCCUGACGGUACCUCCUUAGCAAGCACCGGCUAACCAUGUGCCAGCAGCCGCGGUAAUACAUGGGGUGCAAACGUUGCUCGGAAUUAUUGGGCGUAAAGCGCGCGUAGGCGGUUACUUAAGUCGGAUGUGAAAGCCCUCGGCUUAACUGAGGAAGUGCACCCGAAACUGAGUAGCUAGAGUACGAAAGAGGGUCGCGGAAUUCCCGGUGUAGAGGUGAAAUUCGUAGGUAUCGGGAGGAACACCGGUGGCGAAGGCGGCGACCUGGGUCGAGACUGACGCUGAGGCGCGAAAGCUAGGGGAGCAAAC
RNAcentral lists this ribosomal RNA (427 nucleotides) under uncultured bacterium. RNAcentral describes it as "bacterial SSU rRNA". It matches the Rfam family "Bacterial small subunit ribosomal RNA", at positions 355 to 773 of the family's 1533-position model. The record is from RNAcentral.